AUCCAACUGACGAGUACAAAACAGGACGAAAUGCGCGUCCUGGAU
RNAcentral lists this non-coding RNA (45 nucleotides) under Schistosoma curassoni. The record is from RNAcentral. Lineage: Eukaryota; Metazoa; Platyhelminthes; Trematoda; Strigeidida; Schistosomatidae.